Molecule: long non-coding RNA, 2650 nt
Organism: Peromyscus californicus insignis
Lineage: Eukaryota; Metazoa; Chordata; Mammalia; Rodentia; Cricetidae
Exons: 4
Source: RefSeq, a predicted model, not a curated record
UGUAUUAAAUUAUUAUUCUGUGUUACCAACAUGCAGAAUGUUAAUUUGCAAGAUUUAACCCACCAUCCAAAUGUAAGAUGAAAUCCAUAAUUCAUGAUGCCACCUGAAACCAUUUUGAUGUCAUUUAUCCCAUGUGCCUCUGUUAACCAAAUUGAUGUCCAUGAUUGGAUGACCUACCAUGCUCUUCCUACUAUUUCUGGAAGCCUUGUUCAUGCUUGUGGUCUUUCUUACUGUAGAUAUGACAUUGAUGUCCAUAUCCAUGGAGAUCUUCUGCUACCGGAAACCCUAUUGAUGCAAGAGUUCUGUGCUGCCAACAUGAUGAAUGUUAAUUGCCAUGAUCUCAGCUACCAUCUGAAACUAUUGAUACUUACAUGCUACCACCUACAACCUUGUUGAUGACAUUGAUGCCUGCUGUCCUCUUUAUCAUGUUCAUGAACCUUUCUGUGCUAUUCCUUUUGGUUUGAAGUUCAUGUUGAUGCCUUAUGGUUAUGUUUUGCUCCUGGAUAAGAUGUUGAUGUUAAUGGUCUGACCUGCCACCUGAGACCAUGCUGAGGUAAGUUUUCUGUGUUGCCAACAUGAAGAAUAUUGAUUUCCAUGAGUUGAUCUGCCAUUGGAACUUAAGUUGAUAUCUGUAAUUCAUUCUGUCCCUGGAACCAUGUUGAUACCACUGAUUCUUGCUUCUUUUGUUUAUCAUGUUAAUUACCACGAUCUGACCCACCAUGCUGUCCCUACUGCUUCUGGAAGCCAUGUUGAUGCCUGUGGUUCUUGGUGCUCAGGGAUAUGAUCUUGAUGUCAAUGUUCUGUUCUGACUCCUGAAUCCAUGCUGAGGCCACCACAUUGAUGUCACUGAUCCUUGCUGCAUGUUUUAACUAUGUUGAUAUCCAUGAGCCAACCCUCCAUUCAAAACUAUGUUGAUGUUAUGGAUCCUUCCUACUUCUGGGAGCCAUGGCGAUGCCUGAGGUCCUUGUUGCCCCUGGAUGCGAUGUUGAUGUCCAUGUUCUGUCCUUCCACCUGAGACCACAUUGAGGAAAUCAUAUUGAUGUCACUGUUCUUUGCUGCAUCUUCUAACCAUGUUGAUGUUCAUCAUCCAACCUACCAUCCAAAACUUUGUUGAUGUUACUGAUCUAUGUUGUAGCUGUCAACCAUGUUGAGGUUACUGAACUUUGCUACCACCUGUAACCAUAUUGAUGUCUGCAGUGUGCAGUGUCAUCAGAAACAAUGUUGAAGUCAUUCGUCCAUACUGCUACCUGAGACCCAGUUCAAGUAAGUUUCCUGUGCCACUCAUGUGUACAAUAUUGAUUUCCAUGAUCUGUCUGCCACCUGAAACCAAGUUGAUAUCCAUGAUCUAUACUGACACAGGCAACCAUGUUGGUAUGACUUAUUCUCACUGCCUGUCUUAACCUUGCUGAUAUCCAUGAUUCGACCUGUCACCUGAAACUUUGUUGAUGUCACUGAUCUUUGCUAUUGCUGUCAACCAUGUUGAUGCUACUGAAACUUGCUUCCACUUGUAACCAUACUGCUGUCUGUAGUCUGUUAUCAUCUGAGACAAUGCUGAAAUCAGUGGUGCAUACUACCACCUGAGACCCACUUCAGGUAAGUGUCUUAUGUUGGCAAUGUAUACAAUGUUGAUUUCUGUGAUUUGUCUGCCACCUGAAACUAAGAUGAUGUACAUGAUCUGCCACAGGAAACCAACCUUGUUGAUGUCACUGAUCUUUGUUCCCUGUUUUGAUCAUGUGGAUGUCCAUUAUCUGACUUAACAUCUGAAAUUAUGUUGAUGUCACUCAUUCAUGCUGCCGCUGAUAACCAUGUUUAUGGCCAUAGUCUUUGUUGGAAUCUUAGACCUUGUGGAUGUCCAUUGUCCAUGUUGCCACCUGAAUCCAUAAUGAUGUCCAUGAUGAUUGUAGUCUGUGCUGCUGCUGGGGAUUAGAUCAAUAUAAAUGAUCUGAGCUGUCAACAGAAACUAUUUUGAUAUCAUUAAGCCAUCCUGGUGCUGGAGACCAUGUUGACAUCUUUGUCCUUGCUGCCACCAAAAACUAUGUUUAUGUUCAUGCUCUGGACUGCAUGCUGAAGGCCAGUUGAAUAUCCAUGACCCAGAUGCUGAUGGAGAAUGUGUCAUGUCUGUGGUUAGCACUGCCACAAGAAGGCAUCCUGAUAGUGAUCUGUGAUGCCUCCCGCAUACAUGAUAUGUUGGUGAUCUGUGUUGAUGUCAUGGACCAGAUGGAUGUCAGUUAUCCAAGCUGUCACCAGAAAUCUUGUGGACAAUGAUCUGUGCUGCUGCUGGAAAACCUGUAGAAGUCUAUGAUCCAUUCUGCUACUGGAAACCAUGUGGAAGUCCGUGAUCUGUGCUUCCACUGACUUCUACUGGCAGGGAGCUUCUUUUGCGGUGGUAUCAAUGACUGUAGAAUCACAACUGAAAUUCAGACAGACAUUGAAGGCUUCUGUGCCACCAUCCCCCCAAAAAAGAAAAUCCAGACAGGAUAUUAUUGGAGAAUCCUUGAAAGUUGUAAUAAAAAUACUAUAUGUAACUCUUCAUAGUUGAUGGCUUCAGGCAGGGGUUGGGGAAGAACUCCUUUUUAAGGGGCUGGCCACUGCAAGUUUGACCAUGCUCCAAUGAGUAUAAGGGUAACACAGAUUGGACUUGUUAUAUUGU